Molecule: non-coding RNA, 4537 nt
Organism: Pantherophis guttatus
Lineage: Eukaryota; Metazoa; Chordata; Lepidosauria; Squamata; Colubridae
Source: RefSeq, a predicted model, not a curated record
UCCGUUUACGCGCAAAAAAAAAUGGGGGCAGCCUCCCAAAAAAAAGUGAACGGGAGGAAAGAAAGAAAAACGGAGCGACAGGGAACGAGAAAUACAGCAAGGAGGAGAGGAAAGCGGGUGGGGGGGAGGAGAGAGAGAGAGAGAGAAAGAGACGAGGCAAGCCCCCUCCCUCGAGGGGGCCAGUCAGUCGUGACAAAAGGAAUCCUCAGCCAGGUGGAGAACAGGAGGAGAAAUCCGGCAGGUAACCCCUUCCGUAGGAGACGUAAAAGAAGGGUAGGCGCUGCGGAUAGAAAGGGAGGGAGUGAGGUGCAGAGAGGGAGAGGGAGAGUUGGGCUGUUUAAAAUUAAUAAUUGGGUAAGGCAAGGGGGGGAGACUUGCAAAGAGGAGGGGUAGUUAGGGACUAUCCAGCGCCUGUCAUCUGAACAGGACAGGGUGGGUGGGGGAUACAGAGAAAGCAAGAAGGAAGAAAAAGGCUGCGUGAAUCCGUGCCACCCGCCCUACCUCCUGUCAAAGAGACCCUGCGCCCAAGUAGCCGCCUAAAGUCACACAAACAGCCGGCUCACCUCGCUUGGCAGCUACAGCGAAGGCGCCCGAGAACGGAAACUCUGCCUCUUUCUUGCCUGGAUGAUACCAACUAGAUGGAAAGGUGAACUAACACCUUUAGAGACUGUCUCUUUCCACCUGCUUCAGAUAAUGGAGAGGAGGAAAGAGCAGCCUGGCUAGUCUGCCACGAAGAAGCACCACGGUUUGAAAUGACCACCGAAAAAGAUAAGCAAGGAAGGGAAAAUGCUGAGCUUUUGGCUAGAUGAAAGAACUCCAUUUCUCAAGGGGUUUUUGUAUUUGGAAUAGCAGGUUGCAUAGGCCCUUACGUUCAUCGCCAGAAAUGUGGUACAGUAUUUUGGAGAUAGGUUACUCUUAGGUGUGUUUCACGUGAAUUUAUAAAAAAUGGAAUUAUAUGAUGUGUGAAGGAGUCCCUGCGGAUUUUAUUCCGCUAGCCGUUGCCAGAUAUAGGGGGUGGUGCUAAUCUCUGUUUCAAGGCCACUGAGUCACGGUCAUGUGGCCAGCAUGACAUCAAAACGCUGUUAUCGUCCCACCAGAGUGGCACCUAUUUAUCUACUCGCAUUGGCAUGCUUUCGAAUGUCUAAGCUGGCAGGAGCUGGGGCGAGGACGGGAGCUCACCCCGUCGCGUGGAGCUCGGAUCUCGAACCUGGGCUGCCGGCUUUCCAGCCAACAAGCUCAGGGUUUUAACUUCUGAGCCCGUGUGCCGGCUUACGCUAUGUCUCUAAUAACUAUUAAUAAGUCUCACCUUGUCUGUGAGUAUCAGCUCCUCUUUGUCUCUCGCUAAGAAGACCAUCCUUCUUAGCAUUUUCACACUUCCAAAGUGGUAUGGAAUUCAGCCUGCCUUUAUAUUUGUGGGUGAGAGGCUGGCCAGGUGUGCUGUGAAUCCACCUAGUCCAUGUUUCCGAAGUAGCAUCUCCGUUGUUUAAGCUGAAACAAUAAAGAUGGUGGAUGGGACAAGAAUUAAGACCACGGUAGCCUGGAAGGUGUGGACAAUAUUUUGUGUCCCACCCCCCCAAUCCCUAUCCCAAGGAUUGGUAAACUCUUUGUAGAUGAGGUCCCGUAACUCCAUUCUGAGAUAGCCUUAAAUUUUUGGUUUACAAGCUGCCGUUUUCUGGCUGACAGCAUCCAGAGCAGUGGUGGGUUGUUACCGGUUCUCCCCUGUUCUCACGAACUGGUAGCGGAAAUUUUCAGUAGUUCGGAGAACCAGUAAAUACCACCUCUGCCUGGCCCUGCCCCCAAUCUAUUCGCUGCCUCCUGAGUCUCAGCUGAUCGGCUAGAAGGAAAAUACAGUUUAAACUCUUGCCAUGGUGCUUCAAAGGGCUGCCCUACAGCUGAUCAACGAUAAAAGGAAGUGAGGUGAUAGACCAGUGCGCUCCAAAAACAAAUGGGUAGACCGGCGCGCUCCAAAAAAAAAAUAGGUAGACCAGAACGCUCCAAAAAGAAAUGGGUAGAUUGGUGUGCUCCAAAAAGAAAUGGGUAGACCGGUACAGCUCUGCAAGCAGUUAAAAGCCUGGUAGACAAGUACCUCUGCUAAAUCCUAAAGACUUGUCACAUGACCAUCAAACCACGCCCACAAAAUAAGCCACGCCCACAGAACCGGUAGUAAAAAAAAUUAGAACCCAACCCUGAUCUACAGCUAUGCCCCAAAAAAACAAAUUUGAACUGAGUUUCGUCUGCGGUGAAUAUGGCUACUCAGAAGAAAUGAUACUGGCUCAUCUUCCUUCUUGGAAUGUGCCUGCCUGAAACAUAAUCACCCCGGGAAAGGGGGAAGAAAAAGAAAAGGAAAAACGAAAAGAAAAAUAUAAAAUCACCUCGAAUAUGAAAUGCAGUUCCUCUAUGAAAGGCAGAUGUGAACCCAUUCUGGCUGUUUAGAACAAGGCUUAACAUUAGAAAAACACAGAUUAAUGAAGAAAACGUCACUGAUAGAGAUUGAUUGGCAGGUGAGAAUAAUUACUGGCCUUCCACCUCCUUUGCUGUUGUCUUAAGCCGGUCCAAAGUUAAGAAUUGUUUGUGUGUAUUAGAAUAGUAGAAGAAUCAAUUACAUUCAUUUGAAAGGGGGUCCCGGGGAAACCCCCCUUCAUUUAUUUCAGAACUGUUUUAAGACAAGGUCAAAGUUUUCCCCCGAUUUUAAUUGGAGGAUAAAGGACAAUUUUACCAAACCGGGAGGGUUGGCCAAUUAAUCUUGUCAGCUUGGACAUUUCUCAUUCUCGGAGAGGCCUAAAAAUCGGAAAGAAAAUACGAUCGGGUGAGACAUAACCACGUCCUUAAUGGAUGAAAAAAGAAAACACCCCAUAAUGAACAGAGAGAGAUGCUAUCUCACACUUUCUCACAAUAAACAAUGUUAUGUUAUAGGGAGGGGGGAGAAAUCCCUUUAGAAAGGGAGUUAGGAUGUCAAUACAGGUAGUGACCGUUUGAAGCAGGGGUGAAAUCCAGCAGGUUCUGGAAAACCAGUAGCGGAAAUUUUGAGUAGUUUGGAGAACCGGCAAAUACCACCUCUGGCUGGUCCCAGAGUGGGGUGGGAAUGGAGAUUUUGCAAUAUCCUUCCUCUGGAGUGGGGUGGGAAUAGAGAUUUUUUUUAACGUGCUUUCGAACUGCUAGGUUGGCAGAAGCUGGGACAGGUUAACGGGAGCUCACCCCGUUACUCGGCACUAGGGAUUUGAACCGCUGAGCUGCCGACUUUUCUGAUCGACAAGCUCAGCGUCUUAGCCACUGAGCCACCGCGUCCCUAUACUGUAUACAUAUAUACAUCCUAUAAUGUAUAUAAUGUAUAUACAUCCUAUAAUAUAGCGUGUUUUCCCAAAAAUAAGACCCCGUCUUAUAUUUUUUUGAACCCCAAAAUAAGUGCUUGGCCUUAUUUUCGGGGAGGUCUUAUUAUUUUGAGGCACAUGGAGGAAAACAGAGGAAAUGGCAGGGACUGCAUUUAAAUAUUUUCAGGGGGGGCUUAUUUUAGCACAUGCGCUCAAAAGCCUGAUUGGGCUUAUUAUCAGGGGAUGUCUUAUUUUCGGUAUACAUCCCUAUAAUAUAUAACAGAGCCAUUCUCUCUGUUUUGGUAGGGAGACCAUAAGCAGCUAAGGUUAUCCUGAGGUCUGAAAUGAAUCCAUGCCAAAUUAAAUCCUACUUAUUUGCUUUUUUUUUUUUAAUGUAGACCUGGUAUCCUUUAUUAUUCCCAAGAGGACUUGCUUCAUCCAAACACCCCAGCUCUUAAAAGAAACAUCUUGGGAGCUGAAGACAGGAGACCUCAUCUGCUGGGCCAGUUUUCCUUGAUCAGUUUUCUUUCUUUUUUUUUUUUUGCCAUAUGUUCUCCAUUAGCCAAAAGAAAAAUUUCACACAUCAUAAACAGCUCUGUUCACAGACGCCACUUCUGAAAGGGCGCAUGAGAAGAUCCUGUGUCCUCUUGGCCUAAUGUGGAACCUUCCCCCGGCAUUAACAUGAAUGAAAACUCCUGGAAGCUUUGGAGCAAUCUAAAAUGUUAUCUCAAGGGUUUAUAUGGACGGGGCAAUCCCUAAAGUCCUUGAAAGGACUACAUGCCGUAUGCAAGAUGAUCUUCCUUUGUGGUCUGAUGCUGUUGUUACUCGUUCAGAAUAACAGAGCUGGAAGGGACUUUAGAGGUCUUCUAGUCCAACCCUCUGCUCAAGCUAGCUGUUCAGUCUCUUCUUAAAAGCCUCCAGUGAUGGAGCAACCGGGUUAUUUUCCUGUAUCUUCCAAAUCUCAAAGGAUCUGUGUUGUUGUUCAGUUGCUAAGUCAGAUUACUAUUCUCAUCGUUCCUAUCACCCAUCUCCUCCCACUUAUGACUGUAUGACUGUAACCUUGUUGCUGGUAUCCUUAUGAUUAUAUUGACUGUUUCCCUAUGACUAUCAUUAAGUGUUGUACCUUAUGAUGAAUGUAUCUUUUCUUUUAUGUACACUGAGAGCGUAUGCACCGAAGACAAAUUCCUUGGGUGUCCAAUCACACUUGGCCAAUAAAGAAUUCUAUUCUA